RNAcentral lists this ribosomal RNA (497 nucleotides) under uncultured bacterium. RNAcentral describes it as "partial 16S ribosomal RNA". It matches the Rfam family "Bacterial small subunit ribosomal RNA", at positions 28 to 507 of the family's 1533-position model. The record is from RNAcentral.
GACGAACGCUGGCGGCGUGCCUAAUACAUGCAAGUUGAGCGCUGAAGGUUGGUACUUGUACCAACUGGAUGAGCAGCGAACGGGUGAGUAACGCGUGGGGAAUCUGCCUUUGAGCGGGGGACAACAUUUGGAAACGAAUGCUAAUACCGCAUAAAAACUUUAAACACAAGUUUUAAGAUUGAAAGAUGCAAUUGCAUCACUCAAAGAUGAUCCCGCGUUGUAUUAGCUAGUUGGUGAGGUAAAGGCUCACCAAGGCGAUGAUACAUAGCCGACCUGAGAGGGUGAUCGGCCACAUUGGGACUGAGACACGGCCCAAACUCCUAUGGGAGGCAGCAGUAGGGAAUCUUCGGCAAUGGACGAAGGUCUGAACGAGCAGCGCCGCGUGAGUGAAGAAGGGUUUCGGAUCGUAAAACUCUGUUGGUAGAGAAGAACGUUGGUGAGAGUGGAAAGCUCAUCAAGUGACGGUAACUACCCAGAAAGGGACGGCUAACUACGUG